Delphinapterus leucas (beluga whale) is the source of this 527-nucleotide long non-coding RNA. RefSeq lists it as uncharacterized. The record is from RefSeq and is a predicted model, not a curated record. NCBI's taxonomy places the organism in Eukaryota, Metazoa, Chordata, Mammalia, Artiodactyla, Monodontidae.
CCCAUGAAGCCUUCUGGGGCCUCCCAGGUGAAACCGAGGAGGACCCCAUGGGGCUGCUGGGCAUGGAAGCCUUUUGGCCCCCCGUUUCUUGUAGGCAAGACUCCAGCCUCCAUGACCUCCCCUGAGUGCCAAAGGGAAGGUUCGAACAGCUGCUAAUCAAGGGAGGAGCGGCCAAGAAACCACCGGAGGCGGAGGCGAGAUCACAGGGACCCGAGAAGCUCAGCAAGGCCUCGAGAAGCUCAUCAAGGAGGCCCACGCCUGAGACCCCGAGGCCCCUCAUCUUGUCAGCAGCCCCGCCCUUGGGAGAAGGUGAGUCACAACUUAAAGAGAAAACAAGCCACGAUCCUGCUGCGGAAGCUUCCCGCGUCGGGAUGCAGUGGGAGGCUUGGGGUCCUGUCCAGCCCUGGCAGGCCAGGUGUGAAGAGCUUGGGUUCUGGAGUUCGUGAUUUGGUGGACGUGCCGGCCCUGCCACUGCCUGGGCUUCCCUGGUGGCGCAGUGGUUGGGAAUCAGCCUACCAAUGUAGGGG